This is a non-coding RNA of Vicugna pacos (alpaca), 367 nucleotides long. The record is from RefSeq and is a predicted model, not a curated record. NCBI's taxonomy places the organism in Eukaryota, Metazoa, Chordata, Mammalia, Artiodactyla, Camelidae.
UUCAGACAUGUGCUUUUGAGAUGGUGAGAAUUAACUCAGUCUGGGCUCGGCCUUGUCCUAGAAGACAGGAGCUUAACUUUAGCUCUUGAGAGAGAGGGGAAGGAGACAUACUUUAACAAGCACAUGUUCACGCUGGGUUGGGUCGCUUGGCCAGCAUUCAUUCAAAAAAGAGAAAGGCAUGGCUAACGACUAUACUUUGGACGCUUUAUAUGAUACUUUCUUUAUUGCCUCUGUGUGUGUACAUGUUUUACUGUGUAAUGUUUGAGCCUCUUACUUUCUGUCUUAAAAUUUGGAGGGCCAGUUACUUCUGACUUCCUCUUUUCUUAAAUAGGGAGAAACAUUUUGAAAUAAAACAAUCCGAAUAUGU